This is a long non-coding RNA of Calliphora vicina (urban bluebottle blowfly), 442 nucleotides long. RefSeq lists it as uncharacterized. The transcript has 3 exons. Lineage: Eukaryota; Metazoa; Arthropoda; Insecta; Diptera; Calliphoridae. The record is from RefSeq and is a predicted model, not a curated record.
CUGUUCUUCAAUUGGACUAGACGUGUAUUUUUUACUUCGGUUAAAAACAACAGAAAUUUAUAAAUAAUAAUGAUUACUCCACAAACUAUGGAUCUGUAUAUAACAAACAUUAAUGUCGAAAAUGGAUGACAUCCGGAGCAGUAUGAAUGAAAACAUUCUUUGAAAUGAAGGUUUAAUUAACUAAAGGCUAUCGUUUUGUUACGAUACUGCUGAAUGGCGGAAUCAAAGACCGCUAUGAAAGAUGGAUUUUUGAAAUAACCUCACUUUUGGUUAAAAGUCACCAACGAUGUUCUAUACCAUAGAUAUUUCGUCAUAACUCACAUGAAAGGGCCGUGAGAAUUUAUUGGCAAAUAAAGUUAUACUAAUAAAAUAUAUGUAUAAAAUAUUUAAUGUAAAAUAAAAUACAAAUUCAGCUUGGCCGAUGGUCGGCUAAGAAAACAAA